Molecule: non-coding RNA, 87 nt
Organism: Zea mays
Lineage: Eukaryota; Viridiplantae; Streptophyta; Magnoliopsida; Poales; Poaceae
Source: Rfam
CGACAAUGAUUAUACAUUACCAGCGCUUUUGAUGUAUCCUAUGAAAGAAAGGGAAAAAUCAAUGAUUGAAUUUCCUAAUAUGAGCAG